CCAGGGGGGCAGCUACACAUGCAGUCGAGCGAGAACUUCGGUUCUAGCGGCGGACGGGUUAGUAACGCGUGGGAACGUGCCCUUCACUACGGAAUAGUCCCGGGAAACUGGGUUUAAUACCGUAUACGCCCUUCGGGGGAAAGAAUUUCGGUGAAGGAUCGGCCCGCGUUAGAUUAGAUAGUUGGUGGGGUAACGGCCUACCAAGUCUACGAUCUAUAGCUGGUUUUAGAGGAUGAUCAGCAACACUGGGACUGAGACACGGCCCAGACUCCUACGGGAGGCAGCAGUGGGGAAUCUUAGACAAUGGGCGCAAGCCUGAUCUAGCCAUGCCGCGUGAGUGAUGAAGGCCUUAGGGUCGUAAAGCUCUUUCGCCAGGGAUGAUAAUGACAGUACCUGGUAAAGAAACCCCGGCUAACUCCGUGCCAGCAGCCGCGGUAAUACGGAGGGGGUUAGCGUUGUUCGGAAUUACUGGGCGUAAAGCGCGCGUAGGCGGAUUGGAAAGUUGGGGGUGAAAUCCCAGGGCUCAACCCUGGAACUGCCUCCAAAACUAUCAGUCUAGAGUUCGAGAGAGGUGAGUGGAACUCCGAGUGUAGAGGUGAAAUUCGUAGAUAUUCGGAAGAACACCAGUGGCGAAGGCGGCUCACUGGCUCGAUACUGACGCUGAGGUGCGAAAGUGUGGGGAGCAAACAGGAUUAGAUACCCUGGUAGUC
RNAcentral lists this ribosomal RNA (710 nucleotides) under Roseovarius sp. RNAcentral's name for it is "bacterial SSU rRNA". It matches the Rfam family "Bacterial small subunit ribosomal RNA", at positions 36 to 795 of the family's 1533-position model. The record is from RNAcentral. Lineage: Bacteria; Pseudomonadati; Pseudomonadota; Alphaproteobacteria; Rhodobacterales; Roseobacteraceae.